UACGUGGGGAGCAAGCGUUGUUCGGAUUUACUGGGCGUAAAGGGCGCGUAGGCGGCGUGACAAGUCACUUGUGAAAUCUCCGGGCUUAACUCGGAACGGUCAAGUGAUACUGUCGUGCUAGAGUACAGAAGGGGCAACUGGAAUUCUCGGUGUAGCGGUGAAAUGCGUAGAGAUCGGGAGGAACACCCGUGGCGAAGGCGGCCAUCUGGACCAGCACUGACGCGGAGGCACGAAAGCGUGGGGAGCAAACAGG
This 253-nucleotide ribosomal RNA is filed under the name uncultured bacterium. RNAcentral's name for it is "partial 16S ribosomal RNA". It matches the Rfam family "Bacterial small subunit ribosomal RNA", at positions 524 to 776 of the family's 1533-position model. The record is from RNAcentral.